Molecule: non-coding RNA, 6036 nt
Organism: Callithrix jacchus (white-tufted-ear marmoset)
Lineage: Eukaryota; Metazoa; Chordata; Mammalia; Primates; Cebidae
Source: RefSeq, a predicted model, not a curated record
AAAAAGCGAAGCGAAGGAAGGUGGGAGAGGCAGCGGGGCCCCUCUGGGAGCUUGGCCAGAGGCGCCCGAACCCCCCUCCCCUGCGCGGCUGCUGAGAGUCGCUCCCCUUCCCUUUUCUUUCCGAGCAGCCGAAUUCUGUCCCUAGACGCUGAGUUCCCUGGAGAGGGUAGGGCCAGGAUGCAAAGUUGCUGACCUCGGCCUCGGCUCUAGGGGAAGCAGGCAAAGGGGAUGGAGAGACUGCUGGCGAUGGAGAAGCUGGGACACUGUAGGGCACAGAGAAAGUGUCUCCUCCGAGAAGGGUCCAGCCAGCAGACCCCUACCCCCCACCCCAGGAUCCAGAGCCUCUUCUGGGAUCACAUCUGGGAGAGGCUGGCUUGGUUCAGAGCUUGCCCGUCCUAAGCAAAAUAAAUAAAGAAUUCUCGCUGGCCUCAGUGUGGGAGGAAUCAAACAACCUAAACAAAUACCUCCCCCAGCCUCCCUGCCCGCCCCUCCCUCCACAUCCCCGGACAGGUGGGGAAAGGGCUGCUAUGACCAGCUUUGCGGCCUUGGUCAAGUCACUUCCUCCAUCCCUUUUUGCUUUUAUAAACGCAGAGUCUGUGGGUGGAAGCUGUGGAAGUCCCUCCAGUGGAAAGGUGGUCAGUGCUGGGAAUGAAUGGGACGUAGGAGUCACUCCAAACGAGACCAGCCCAGAUUUGGUGGGUCGGCCAAGCUCAUCCCAGAACGUUUUGGACCUCAUCAGGAAACACACUGUGUAUUAAUGCGUGGCUGGGUGCGGGCCAAUCUGAAAGAAAGCCAUCGGCUGAGGGGGCUGCUUCUGUGAGAGAAGCCCAGAAGAACAGGGAGCAAGAGGGCUUCCCAGGAGGGUCCCUGACAUGAGAUCAGUGACCAGACAGGGUGCUGGGGCAGAAGAGGAUGGCGUAAAAGCCAGACAGCUUGGUGGAGGGUGUAGGUGCUGGGAAAAGCACAGUAUGAGGCUGGUUGUGUGACUCCAAGCCAAUUAAACUCUCCCGACCUCCUUCUGAACAGGCAAAAUGGAGGAGCCGACACCAACUUCCCUGGGUUGUGGUAAUAAGAACUCAGUGGUUAAUGUUCCUUCCUGGCUCUUCAUGGAUGAGAACUAGGUGUUGUGUUGUGUUGUGUUUUCCAGUUCAGGAAUGUCAUGUUCAUAUUGUUUUCUCUCCUCGUUUGGGGUGGUGCUGAGUGGAGCGGGUAGGGGGAAUGGCUGUAUUUUGCUGCCUCUCACUCUUGCCUUCCUGUUUUACCAGUCUCUGAAUCCCUGUGUCAGACUCAAAUUAUCUAAAAUACUUAAAUAUAUAACAUAAAGCAUUGCUCUUUAAAGAAAAUGCCACUGAAAUAAAAUAAAACAUCCCUCAAUGCAUUGAAAUAGCCUGCAGUAAAACGCCGUGCAAGUCAGCUUCCUCCCGGAACCUCCACCAGUCCCCUGCUGCGUCUUCUACAGUUAAAGUUAACCACUCAAAAGGGAUGGCAUUUCUAUCUGGAACUGAAUUAAAAAAGCACAUGAGGCUGGACGUGGUGGCUCAAGCCUGUAAUCCAAGCACUUUGGAGGCCAAGCCCUCACCCACCAGCAGUUUGCCCCUUCCUCCUACUUGGCUUUUUCUCUGCCUGGCCUUGACACACGCGGUGAGUGGAAGAGUCUUCCUGGGCUGUGGGCUGUAGUGUUGGAGGACAGGGGGUGGGAAAUAAACCGAAAUUACAAUGGAAGGGAUAUUAUUGAGAUUCUAGGAAGAAUUCUGACCUUCUAAGGCAAGAGACCCAGUAGCAUUCUCUCCCCAGAGAAGAAUCCCCUAAUACCCUGGGAAUGCAAAGGGCUGGGGCUGGGAGUGGUAGAGAAGACACGCCAAUACACCCGAAAGAAGGGGAAAGCGAAAGGAGAAAAUAGAGGCUUGAGAGGGCACAGGGAGAAUUCUUAUUUCUGUGCUCUCUCAAGAGGAGAGGGACUUGCAUCGCACAGCUAACGAACCUCUUCCCAAAUUCUCUGUGCGGGAUUUGGCUGCUCCCAGAAGGGGGUCUUUUCUAACAAGGUGCCCCCGGGCCCUGCCCCUCCCUCCCCAGGAGCUGAAGCCGCCAAAGGUUCGUGGAAUAUAAUGGAUCAUUUUCCAAUUUACCAGGGUCUUAGAGAUUACGCCGCUAAUCCCAUCAAAGACCAUCUGCUUACAUUGUCCCUCCUGAGCCAAAAUAAAUAGAUCCUUUACUCCCUCCACUUCAACUCCUCUGGGGUAUUGUAGCAGGAGAAAGUUCGACAAGGCCCAUCCCAUUUCCCCCUCCCUCCCGCUGAGGGCUGGACAGAAAAGGAGAAAACAAACUUAGCUUGUCUGAGGUGUGAAAGGUCACUUACGAUCCUGACCUGCAUUCUUCUCCGUUGCCUGCGACGAUGGGAAUUGGGGAGAGGGGCGGGCCCCCGGGGCUCUGGGGGUCUCUCAGGAUCAGCCCCCUGCGGAGGUGUGGGACAGGCUGUUCUGUGCCCCACUGUCCUGCUGUCUCUGCUCUGAGGCCACCUUAGCCCCAGCCCAUUUUUGGUCCCUUUCUAGUCUUUUUGAGUUUCUUCCACCUAUGACUGUUGGGAAAUAAUUAUUAAAAUCUAACUUUCAUCCCUCCCUUGACAGAACUGUGGGAAAAAGGACACGAGAGUCCAUAAAAACACUAAUUUGAUUCCAUCUAAGAGUUACUUGUUCUAUAGGGUUUUCACAUUUAUUCUUAUUUGUUGCUACUCUUUUGCAGAAAGGGGCUUCGUAAAUGGGAAAAUGAGGGGCUCAGGGGGAGCGCCUUCUGGCCCAAGGUCUGGGAAAAGUUGAUAACUAGAACCAAAAGUGUGUAUGUGCUACCCAGGCUUCAGAAAUUAGAUUAUGUACGUAAUAUAUUAAAAGGCGAUAACCACUUUGGACAAUCAAUGAAAUGUAAAACAGCCUAAGUGGACAGGGAGGGGCCUCAUUGAGAAGUCGACACUAAAGGCUUAGAGGAGGUAAGAGAGAUAUUUUCAAGAAAAUCAGGAAAAAGCUCCACACACAAGGACCAUCCAGUCUCUUCCCACAGCUGCCUUCCGUCUUGCUGCCUCUACCCCCUUGGUCCUUCCGUCAUCAUUGUCCGCAACUGUUUUCUAACCUGUUCAGGAAGGGGCUCUCAGCCACCAUCUCAUCCUUUGCAGGACAAUCCACAGAGGUGGGUCUCCCAAACUCUGGCAAACAGCUGCCUGUUGGGAAUGACUCUGCUGUAGACACAUCUGGUCUCCUGUAGAGACAUGUUGUACUUUCGAAAGCAGCAUAAGGUGACAGAAACAACAUUGGCAUCGGAGUCAGGACAAUCUCUGCUACUUAUGAGCUAUGUGAUUCUGGGUAUGGCUCCUGGACUCUGCCUCUCCAUUUCCUCAUCUGUAAAACAAAGAUUCCGCCUACUUCAUGAAGCUGCUGGGAAACAGACAGUUCCUGGUGGGUGCUCUACACAGAGCACUGUGUGAGAUAGAGCAGAGAAUGGGUCCCACACCACAAAGAAGUUAGAAUGUGCUUAAGAAAUUCAACAGGGAUAUGUAAAGCACUGCAUGUAGAGACAAAACAUAAAUUUUCUAGUUACAAGAACUGUUCAUUUGACAAGUGUUUGCUGGCUGACCCUAUGGACCAGGCACUAAAGGGACAUAAGGGGAAGGAGACGUCCGCCCUGAUUAAAGAUCAAAAGCAAAGCCACAAAUUAUUGUUCAGAAAAUAUCGAUGGAAAUUCUACACAGAGAGAAAGAGAUCACGUUCAACAGGGGUAAUGUAGAAUCAGGAAAGGUUUCACUAAAGAGGUGGGCAGGAGCUGGGUGGUCUUUGAAAGAAGGAUAGGACCGGAACAUGCAGAGGGUAAGACAAAGCAGAUCAGUGUGUGAGAGACCAGGCUUGUCAAAGAUGCAUCUCGGAAAGACCUGAACGUUUAAGUGACCAUAAGCUCAAUAUGAGCCAGUAACAUGGUGGAACUGCUGAAGGCUAAUGUCUUUGGCUCUGGAAGAAGAAUCACAUUCCAAUCAAGAGAGCUGAGGAGCGUUAGUGCACUUAACUGACUCCAUCUGAGACAAGAUACUGACAUGUAAGAGAGCACCGAGAAGAGGAUUAACCAAAUGGGGAGGGGGCUCUACCAUAUAGAAGGGAUGUGGCCAUGGGCAGGUGACUUCAUCUCUCUCAUCUUCAUUUCCCUCAUCAGUAAAAUGAGAAUGAGAUUUAUUGCACAGGGUUCAUAGUGAGGGUUAAAUGAGAUUAUAUGAGAAUACCUGCUAAAGUGCCCGGUACAUGGGAAAUACUUCAAAUGAUUCUUGAAAAAGAAGUCUUCUGGCCAGACGCAGUGGCUCACACCUGUAAUCCUAGCACUUUGGGAGGCCGAGGUGGGUAGAUCACCUGAGGUCAGGAGUUCAAGACCAGCCUGGCCAUCAUGGUGAAAUCCCAUCUUUGGGGGGGGGAAAAAAAAAAAAAAAAAGAAGUCUCCAUUAAGUGAAGGAUUGUGAACAAGCUGAUCCUGGAGCUAUGGUACCUGUCUUUUUUUUUUUUUUUUUUAAUGUGCUGAAAUCUGGAUUUAUUUAUAAACUUAUUAGAGACUGUCAGGGAAACACAUGUUAGUUCCGUUCAUCUUUUUUUUUGUCUAAAAUCUUGUUGAGUCUCAUCCCUCUUUAUAUGUAACACUAACUUAGGAACUGUUUCUUUAUAUUAAGUCAGAACUCAUUUUACCUAGUGGUUUCACUUGCAAUGUAUAAACUGUAUUGUAUAACAUUCAAAUAAGUAAUUGAGGCUGUCGCCCUGGGUAAUGCAGAUAACCUCAGCACAUCGGGAUGCCAAGUAGGGCAGAUCACCUGAGGUCAGGAGUUUGAGACCAGCCAGGCUAACAUGAUAAAAACCUUGUCUCUACUAAAAAUACAAAAAUUAGGCCAGGCUCAGUGGCUCAUGCCUGUAAUCCCAGCACUUUAGAAAGAUGGAGUGGGGAGAUCACGCGGUCAAGAGUUCAAGACCAGCCUGGCCAAUAUAGUGAAACUCUGUCUCUACUAAAAACACAAAAAUUAGCUGGGCAUGGUGGCGCGCGCCCAAGUACUUGGGAGGCUGAGGCAAGAGAAUCGCUUGAACCCAGGAGGCAGAGGUUGUGGUUAGCUGAAGUCUCAUCACUGCGCUCCAGCUAGGCCACAGAUGGAGACUCCAUCUGCAAGAAAAAAAAAAAAAAAAAAAAGAAAUACAAAAAUUAGCUGGAUGUGGUGGCACAUGCCUAUAAUCCCAGCUACUCAGGAGGCUGAGACAGGAGAAUUGCUUGAACCCAGGAGGCAGAGGUUACAGUGAGCUGAGAUCACUCCACUGCACUGCAGCCUGGAUGAAAGAGUGAUACUCUGUCUCAAAAACAAAAAACAAGUAAUAGAAAUUUAAUUAAAGAAUGUGGAAAAAGUCAUACACUAAAAAUGAAUUGAAAUCCAUCAUCUGACACUGAUUAACAUAUUUAGCAGAUUAGACGAGACCUACAUUUCUGUUAACAACAUUGAAAAGCAGAAUUUGUUUGUUUGUUUUUUUUAUAAAGACGGGGUUUCACCAUGUUGGUCAGGCUGGUCUUGAGCUGCCAACCUAAGGUGAUCCGCCCGCAUUGGCCUCCGAAGUGCUUGGAUUACAGGCGUGAGCCACCACGCCCGGCAGAUAUGGUACCUGUCUUUAACUAUCUAAUGAGCAAUCUACAUAGAAAAGGGGUAGACGUGUUGAAUGGUACAGGAAAAGAAUCGGUGAGUGGAAAUAGAAGGAAACACAUUAAGGCUUGGCAUGAAGAAGAAUGUACAAACGGCCAGAAACGACCAAACACGAGAACAUUUAGUCAGUCAUGACCACCAGUUCUUGGUGAUUUUAGACCAAGAUAUAGAAGAACAAAUUUCUGUUUUGGGUAAGUGACUGAACUACCUGAUUUCAUAGCAGUAUGUGCCGUGCUAGCUACUCUGGAGGCUGAGGCGAGACGGUCGCUUGAACUUGGGUGGUUAAGGCUGCAGUGAGCUGAGAUCACACCGCUGUACUCUAGCUUGGGGGACAGAGCAAG